UUUUUUUUUUGCUUUUUUUUCGAAAAUUUUUACACCAAAAGAUUCUCCUCCUUCUUCUCCAUGCAAAUCCGGUAUUAGUUUUAAAAAGGGUAGAGAGAUUUGAGCUAGAUCUACAAAUGAAUAUGUGAAAGUUUUUACCUCUUUUUCCGGUCUCCGUCUCUCCUUCCGGUCCGGUUUUGCCUUUUGCUCCGAUCUGGUCCGUUUCCCCCUUGUUCCGGUUCGGCCUCCUUCUCUCCUUUCCGGUUCGCCUCUUUUCUCCGGUCCGGUCCGGUUCCGUUUGGUUGGGAUGAUGAUGAUUUGUGGUUGUAUGAAUGGUUUGAGGUUGUUGUUUAAGUUUUGUUGUUUGAUCUAAAAAGGGUUGGAAAAGUAGAAAAUGAGUGUUUGUGAAUUGCUGCUGAUUUUUCUGACGUGAACAGUGACUUCUGGCCCAUUUCCCAAUGAUUGACAGUGUUUUUAUAGUGACAAACUAGGGUUUCUCUGGUACAAACAAAUGACAAAAAUACCCCUGCAGCUGAGACUUGGAGA
Molecule: long non-coding RNA, 525 nt
Filed under: Medicago truncatula (barrel medic)
Lineage: Eukaryota; Viridiplantae; Streptophyta; Magnoliopsida; Fabales; Fabaceae
Description: lncRNA gene2827
Source: RNAcentral